CCUACGGGAGGCAGCAGUGGGGAAUAUUGGACAAUGGGGGCAACCCUGAUCCAGCAAUACCGCGUGUGUGAAGAAGGCCUUCGGGUUGUAAAGCACUUUUAGCAGGAAAGAAAGCCUGUACGCUAAUACCGUAUGGUUUUGACGUUACCUGCAGAAAAAGCACCGGCUAACUCCGUGCCAGCAGCCGCGGUAAU
Molecule: ribosomal RNA, 194 nt
Filed under: uncultured bacterium DF02
Lineage: Bacteria
Description: partial 16S ribosomal RNA
Rfam family: Bacterial small subunit ribosomal RNA
Source: RNAcentral